RNAcentral lists this long non-coding RNA (1729 nucleotides) under Mytilus galloprovincialis (Mediterranean mussel). The record is from RNAcentral. Lineage: Eukaryota; Metazoa; Mollusca; Bivalvia; Mytilida; Mytilidae.
CCUUGACCUAAUUUUUAUUUUUUUGGACCAAGGACCUCAAAUCAAAAGAUCCUUGGUCUUUAGCACUUAUGGUUUACAAGAUAGAAAUGCAUAUCACUUAUAUCAAAUGCAUAAGGGGAAAUAACUCUCAUAUGGAGCGUUCAUAUCACUUCGGUCAAAAUAGGACAAAUCAUGCGAAGGAUAUAACGAGCAAUUUUGUAAAAUAAAUUUGUCAUAAUAUUUUACGGUUGCGAAGGAGAUGCGCUAACAAGGAAAACAGUGUUUGGGGAGAUAACUCCUACAAAGAAAAGUAUUCGUUUACGCAGGGUAAAUUUCAAAAGCGCAUAAACUGUUCGAUAUCAUAUACCAAAUAUCUAAGCGACAUAUUGCGAAACAAAUGUUUAUCGCAAGAACAAAAUUAGGUGGAAGAAAAAAAAAAAAAAAUUAAAAACCAAUUGUUCAGAGAACAAUUGAAGGUCUUUCCAUCAAAACAAUGUAUUUUGAUAUGAAAAGUUGUGAAACUAAGUUUAAAAUGUCAUUUCAAUCGUCAAAUGAUAGCUUCUAGUAAGCUGAUUCCAAAAAUAUAUUGUUUCCAUACAUUUUUUUUAAAUAAGGGAGAUAAUUUGUUACUUCCGGUUUGAAAAAUGUUACUUCCGAUUAUAUUUGAAUAUUUACUUGACACUGAUUCCAAAAAUAUCUGGUUCUAUAUACUUUUAUAUUAAUAAAGUACAAAAAAUAGCUACUUCCGGUUUACAAAAAGUCACUUCCGGUUGUUUUUUCAAGGUUAAAUGGUUUGAUACCUUUUUCUAAAAGAUGUAUAUCUUUAUCAUGUAUACAUAUAGAAUAAAAGCAAAGGUCAAAAUCUAGAACGUCAAAUUAAGCUAUGACCUUGAGAUCAAUUUCAAGGUCAUAAACCAAGGACCUCAAAUCAAAAGACCAUAGGUCUUAAUUAUAUUUAGUUAAUGAGUUAUAUCACCAAACGCGUAUUUUUAAAUACAAGAGGGGAGAAAACUCCCUUUUACAUUCAACGUACGCUUGCAAUCAAAAUUUACAUCUUACGACAUGUCGCAACUAACAAUUUAGUAAAAAUAAUUUGUUGAUAUCUUAUACAGUCUUUGGAUAUAAGUGAAAAUAAGCCACAUUCAAAUAUUAGAAUAUGACCUUGACCUUUGACCUUGACCUAAUUUUCAUUUUUUGGGACCAAGGACCUCAAAUCAAAAGAUCCUAGGUCUCUAUCACUUAUGGUUAUAAGAUAGAAAUUCAUAUCACUUAUAUCAGAUGCGUAAGGGGAAAUAACUCUCAUAUGGAGCGGUCAUAUCGCUUCAGUCAAAAUAGGACAAAUCAUGCGAAGGAUAUAACGAGCAAUUUUGUAAAAUAAAUUUGUCAUAAUCUUUAACGGUUGCGAAGGAGAUGCGAUAACAAGGAAAACAGUGUUUGGGGAGAUAACUCCUACAAAGAAAAGUAUUCAUUUACGCAGGGUAAAUUUCAAAAGCGCAUAAACUGUUCGAUAUCAUAUACAAAAUAUCUAAGCGACAUAUUGCGAAACAAAUGUUUAUCGCAAGAACAAAAUUAGGCGGAAGAAAAAAAAAAAAAUAAUCAGAAGAAAAACAAUAGGUCUUUCCACAGAAAAGUGGAAAGACCUAAUAAUCAGAAGAAAAACAAUAGGUCUUUCCACAGAAAAGUGGAAAGACCUAAUAAUCAGAAGAAAAACAAUAGGUCUUUCCACAGAAAAGUGGAAAGACCUAAUAAA